CACAGAGGAGCUUGCUCCUUGGGUGACGAGCGGCGGACGGGUGAGUAAAGUCUGGGGAUCUGCCUGAUGGAGGGGGAUAACUACUGGAAACGGUAGCUAAUACCGCAUGACGUCUUCGGACCAAAGUGGGGGACCUUCGGGCCUCACGCCAUGAGAUGAACCCAGAUGGGAUUAGCUGGUAGGUGAGGUAACGGCUCACCUAGGCGACGAUCCCUAGCUGGUCUGAGAGGAUGACCAGCCACACUGGAACUGAGACACGGUCCAGACUCCUACGGGAGGCAGCAGUGGGGAAUAUUGCACAAUGGGGGAAACCCUGAUGCAGCCAUGCCGCGUGUGUGAAGAAGGCCUUCGGGUUGUAAAGCACUUUCAGCGGGGAGGAAGGCAAUAAACUUAAUAAGUUUGUUGAUUGACGUUACCCGCAGAAGAAGCACCGGCUAACUCCGUGCCAGCAGCCGCGGUAAUACGGAGGGUGCAAGCGUUAAUCGGAAUGACUGGGCGUAAAGCGCACGCAGGCGGUCUGUUAAGUUGGAUGUGAAAUCCCCGGGCUCAACCCGGGAACAGCAUUCAAAACUGACAGGCUAGAGUCUCGUAGAGGGGGGUAGAAUUCCAGGUGUAGCGGUGAAAUGCGUAGAGAUCUGGAGGAAUACCGGUGGCGAAGGCGGCCCCCUGGACGAAGACUGACGCUCAGGUGCGAAAGCGUGGGGAGCAAACAGGAUUAGAUACCCUGGUAGUCCACGCCGUAAACGAUGUCGACUUGGAGGCUGUGGUCUUGAACCGUGGCUUCCGGAGCUAACGCGUUAAGUCGACCGCCUGGGGAGUACGGCCGCAAGGUUAAAACUCAAAUGAAUUGACGGGGGCCCGCACAAGCGGUGGAGCAUGUGGUUUAAUUCGAUGCAACGCGAAGAACCUUACCUACUCUUGACAUCCAGAGAAGACUGUAGAGAUACGGUUGUGCCUUCGGGAGCUCUGAGACAGGUGCUGCAUGGCUGUCGUCAGCUCGUGUUGUGAAAUGUUGGGUUAAGUCCCGCAACGAGCGCAACCCUUAUCCUUUGUUGCCAGCGAUACGGUCGGGAACUCAAAGGAGACUGCCGGUGAUAAACCGGAGGAAGGUGGGGAUGACGUCAAGUCAUCAUGGCCCUUACGAGUAGGGCUACACACGUGCUACAAUGGCGCAUACAAAGAGAAGCGAGCCUGCGAGGGUGAGCGGACCUCAUAAAGUGCGUCGUAGUCCGGAUUGGAGUCUGCAACUCGACUCCAUGAAGUCGGAAUCGCUAGUAAUCGUAGAUCAGAAUGCUACGGUGAAUACGUUCCCGGGCCUUGUACACACCGCCCGUCACACCAUGGGAGUGGGUUGCAAAAGAAGUAGGUAGCUUAA
This 1375-nucleotide ribosomal RNA is filed under the name Brenneria salicis. RNAcentral describes it as "bacterial SSU rRNA". It matches the Rfam family "Bacterial small subunit ribosomal RNA", at positions 69 to 1438 of the family's 1533-position model. The record is from RNAcentral. Lineage: Bacteria; Pseudomonadati; Pseudomonadota; Gammaproteobacteria; Enterobacterales; Pectobacteriaceae.